This 468-nucleotide ribosomal RNA is filed under the name uncultured bacterium. RNAcentral's name for it is "partial 16S ribosomal RNA". It matches the Rfam family "Bacterial small subunit ribosomal RNA", at positions 28 to 507 of the family's 1533-position model. The record is from RNAcentral.
GACGAACGCUGGCGGCGUGCUUAACACAUGCAAGUCGAACGGAAAGGCACUGCUUUUGUGGGGUGCUCGAGUGGCGAACGGGUGAGUAGCACGUGAGUAACCUGCCCUUGACUUUGGGAUAACUUCAGGAAACUGGGGCUAAUACAGGAUAGGAGCUCCUGCUGCAUGGUGGGGGUUGGAAAGUUUCGGCGGUUGGGGAUGGACUCGCGGCUUAUCAGCUUGUUGGUGGGGUAGUGGCUUACCAAGGCUUGGACGGGUAGCCGGCCUGAGAGGGUGACCGGCCACAUUGGGACUGCGAUACGGCCCAGACUCCUACGGGAGGCAGCAGGGGGGAAUAUUGCACAAUGGUCGGAAGCCUGAUGCAGCAACGCCGCGUGCGGGAUGACGGCCUUCGGGUUGUAAACCGCUUUCGCCUGUGACGAAGCGUGAGUGACGGUAAUGGGUAAAGAAGCACCGGCUAACUACGUG